RNAcentral lists this long non-coding RNA (292 nucleotides) under Mytilus galloprovincialis (Mediterranean mussel). The record is from RNAcentral. Lineage: Eukaryota; Metazoa; Mollusca; Bivalvia; Mytilida; Mytilidae.
UUCCUGUCAUUACGUGUCACACAUCGAAUUGUCCUUUUUCAAUCUUAGGCAUUUUAUGAUUUAACCAUCUAUAAAGUGACAAAAUCCUUCACACGUCAACUUGUUUUAAAUUAUAAUAACAACAUAUAAAGGCAACAGUAGUAUACCCUUGUUUGGAAGUCUUAAAUUGAUUGAGACAAAAACAAAUCCGGGUUACAAACUAAAACUGAGGGAAACACAUUAACUAUAUAUAAGAGGAAAAUAACGAAACAACAGAAACACUGAUGGGAACAAAAAAAAACAAAUGCAGCAC